RNAcentral lists this ribosomal RNA (380 nucleotides) under uncultured eukaryote. RNAcentral's name for it is "partial 18S ribosomal RNA". It matches the Rfam family "Eukaryotic small subunit ribosomal RNA", at positions 592 to 976 of the family's 1831-position model. The record is from RNAcentral.
CAAUAGCGUAUAUUAAAGUUGUUGCAGUUAAAAAGCUCGUAGUUGGAUUUCUGUUGGGAACGACCGGUCCGCCCAUUGGGUGUGUAUCUGGCUUGUUCUCGGCAUCUUCUUGGUGAACGUUGCUGCACUUGACUGUGUGGAGCGCUACCCAGGACUUUUACUUUGAGGAAAUUAGAGUGUUUCAAGCAGGCAUAUGCCUUGAAUACAUUAGCAUGGAAUAAUAAGAUAGGACCUCGGUUCUAUUUUGUUGGUUUCCAGAGCUGAGGUAAUGAUUAAUAGGGAUAGUUGGGGGCAUUCGUAUUUAACUGUCAGAGGUGAAAUUCUUGGAUUUGUUAAAGGCGGACUACUGCGAAAGCAUUUGCCAAGGAUGUUUUCAUUGA